This 176-nucleotide microRNA precursor is filed under the name Paramuricea clavata. Lineage: Eukaryota; Metazoa; Cnidaria; Anthozoa; Malacalcyonacea; Plexauridae. The record is from RNAcentral.
UCCACUGUCGCGUUUUUCUUACGUGCGUAUACGCACGUAAAAGUUCAAAUCCAUUUAAAAGUUGUUUAUAUUAUGAAGUAAUUAAGUGAAUAAAAUGACAGCAUUUAGUUUAUAAAAUUUAAAAAGAUUUAAACUUUUACGUGCGUAUACGUACGUAAGAAAAACGCGACAGUGGA